GACGAACGCUGGCGGCGUGCCUAAUACAUGCAAGUAGAACGCUGAAGAGAGGAGCUUGCUCUUCUUGGCUGAGUUGCGAACGGGUGAGUAACGCGUAGGUAACCUGCCUGGUAGCGGGGGAUAACUAUUGGAAACGGUAGCUAAUACCGCAUAAAAUGGAUUAUCGCAUGAUAAUCCAUUGAAAGGUGCAAAUGCAUCACUACCAGAUGGACCUGCGUUGUAUUAGCUAGUUGGUGGGGUAACGGCUCACCAAGGCGACGAUACAUAGCCGACCUGAGAGGGUGAUCGGCCACACUGGGACUGAGACACGGCCCAGACUCCUACGGGAGGCAGCAGUAGGGAAUCUUCGGCAAGGGACGGAAGUCUGACCGAGCAACGCCGCGUGAGUGAAGAAGGUUUUCGGAUCGUAAAGCUCUGUUGUAAGAGAAGAACGAGUGUGAGAGUGGAAAGUUCACACUGUGACGGUAUCUUACCAGAAAGGGACGGCUAACUACGUG
This 497-nucleotide ribosomal RNA is filed under the name uncultured bacterium. RNAcentral's name for it is "partial 16S ribosomal RNA". It matches the Rfam family "Bacterial small subunit ribosomal RNA", at positions 28 to 507 of the family's 1533-position model. The record is from RNAcentral.